GACAAACGCUGGCGGCGUGCCUAAUACAUGCAAGUUGAGCGAUGAAGAUUGGUGCUUGCACCCAUUUGAAGAGCAGCGAACGGGUGAGUAACGCGUGGGGCGUCUGCCUUUGAGCGGGGGACAACAUUUGGAAACGAAUGCUAAUACCACAUAACAACUUUAAACAUAAGUUUUAAGUUUGAAAGAUGCCAUUGCAUCACUCAAAGAUGAUCCCGCGUUGUAUUAGCUAGUUGGUGAGGUAAAGGCUCACCAAGGCGAUGAUACAUAGCCGACCUGAAAGGGUGGUCGGCCACCACGGGACUGAGACACGGCCCAAAACUCUUCGGGAGGGAGCAGGAGGGGAACAUCGGAAAUUGGGGGAAGUCUUACCGAGCAACGACGCGGGAGGGGAGAAGGUCUUCGGAGUGGAAAACUCUGUUUGUAGAGAAGAAAGAGGGGGAGGGUGGAACGCCCAUGAAGUGACGGUAACUAAACAGAAAGGGACGGCUAACUACGUG
Molecule: ribosomal RNA, 497 nt
Filed under: uncultured bacterium
Lineage: Bacteria
Description: partial 16S ribosomal RNA
Rfam family: Bacterial small subunit ribosomal RNA
Source: RNAcentral